UAGUAAUGAAAGGAAGAAGGAGAGAAAGUCCGUUGGGAGCCAGGUAACAGUCUUUUUCCCAGAUCCUCAGCCAGGCUGCCUGGUGACAACAUUCCGAGAUUGCCAGGCAACUGACUUCAUCCUCCUUCUAUCUCUGGUCUCACUUUCCUCCCUAAGUUUUCUUCUUCUCUUCAUGUUUCUGCUCUUACCUCCUUCUCAGGUUCUGCUAGCCCUUUGGGAUAUCAGGCCUUCAGAAGUAGCUCAGAAGAAAGGCUAUAUGAGGACACAGCAAGAAGGUGGCUGCCCACCAGCCAGGAAGAGAGCCCUCACCAGGAACUGAAUCUACUGGCACCUCCAUCUGGGACUUCCAUCCUCCAGACCUGAAAAUGCAAGAGGAGAGAGAUAAAUUGAAAGAAUUGUUAAGCAAAAAGGAAGUAGAAGUUGAAGACUUGGAAAAUUCUCAGCCUACCCAUGUUACAAAAAGCUGUGGUACUGUGUUAUGUCAGCCCAAGUGGACUAAUACGAUAGCUUACGCCAUUGUAAGUACUUUAAAGACAUCAGCUAUUCUAACAUAUACCCAUGAGAAACGU
This 569-nucleotide long non-coding RNA is filed under the name Equus caballus (horse). RNAcentral's name for it is "lncRNA (ENSECAG00000048263.1)". The record is from RNAcentral. Lineage: Eukaryota; Metazoa; Chordata; Mammalia; Perissodactyla; Equidae.